UACGUAGGGUGCGAGCGUUAAUCGGAAUUACUGGGCGUAAAGCGUGCGCAGGCGGUUCGUUAUGUCCGAUGUGAAAGCCCCGAGCUUAACUUGGGAAUGGCAUUGGAAACUGGCGGGCUGGAGUGCGGCAGAGGGGGGUGGAAUUCCACGUGUAGCAGUGAAAUGCGUAGAGAUGUGGAGGAACACCGAUGGCGAAGGCAGCCCCCUGGGCCGACACUGACGCUGAGGCGCGAAAGCCAGGGGAGCGAACGGG
RNAcentral lists this ribosomal RNA (253 nucleotides) under uncultured bacterium. RNAcentral's name for it is "partial 16S ribosomal RNA". It matches the Rfam family "Bacterial small subunit ribosomal RNA", at positions 524 to 776 of the family's 1533-position model. The record is from RNAcentral.